GGGCGGUUAGCGCAGUUGGUUAGCGCGCCACGUUGACAUCGUGGAGGUCAGAGGUUCGAACCCUCUACCGCCCACCA
This 77-nucleotide transfer RNA is filed under the name Candidatus Omnitrophota bacterium. RNAcentral's name for it is "Candidatus Omnitrophica bacterium tRNA-Val". It matches the Rfam family "tRNA". Rfam says of the family: Transfer RNA (tRNA) molecules are approximately 80 nucleotides in length. Their secondary structure includes four short double-helical elements and three loops (D, anti-codon, and T loops). Lineage: Bacteria; Pseudomonadati; Candidatus Omnitrophota. The record is from RNAcentral.